Mastacembelus armatus (zig-zag eel) is the source of this 2174-nucleotide long non-coding RNA. The record is from Ensembl. NCBI's taxonomy places the organism in Eukaryota, Metazoa, Chordata, Actinopteri, Synbranchiformes, Mastacembelidae.
GGUCCUAGGAGUCAGUCCUCACUCCUGCUGUGGUGAGUCUGCAGGGUGAAAUCUCUUUGCCAAGGAAUUCAACAAGAACUGCAGAAAAGGAUCUGGCUUUCUUCUCCAACCUGAGUGUCUGAGGCUUCACCUGCCCUCCCUCAUCCUCUGCCUACCCCCUUCUUCUGUCUGAAUCUUGCACCUGUUCUGACUCGCCAGCCAGGUGAAGUGGAUCUUCUGUCCUUACGCUGUUAUUUCAGCUGACCACAGCUGGAGGGCAAUUAGGAACCCAGUCUAUUCAUUUGACUGGAUUGCCGCUUUGCUCCGUAUCUCUCUCUCUCUCUCUGUCUCUCUAUAGCCCACCCCCCUUCCCUCCCUGUCUAUCUCUACCCACCUCCCACUCCAUCUCUGUCUAGCCCAGUCUGAGCCUGGUUGACACUGUAGCUGUGGGUACGUGUGGAGCUGCAGAGAUUUCCCUGUUGGAGUUGAAGUGUAGAUUCCAUGGAAAGGACACAGUGGAAGAAAAAGGGUGAAAUAUAAACCUUGAGGAUAAAUUGGAUUUAGCAUUGGUCAGCUGAGGCAGAAAGUUACACUCCAAACCAAAGGAUUCUGCACUUGGAAGAGCAGCAGGUAUGAAAAGCAAGACUGUGGUUGCAUCUGUGGCUCUGCUGGGCUUGUGCUGCUGCCUGCUGAUCCCCAGAGGAGGAGAGAGCGCUGGGGGUAUAGUUUAUCUCCAACAGACUGAAGGGAAGCAGCAGGCAGGGGAUCUCCUGCAGGAUGAGUCCCUGGACGACCCAGAAAGGGAGCAAAGUCUUGCUGAGGGCCCACACCCACUGGAAAGCAGCAAUAAGGCCAAGAGAGACACAGAGGGAGCUGCACAGGCAGGAAUUUUGAGCAGGGUGAGGAGAGCACCAGAUGAAGGCAAAAAAAAGAAGGACAAGAAGAAGAACAAAGAGCCAAAGGGCCCCAAAGCUACUAAAAAGCCCAAAGCCGACAAGAAGGGAAAGAAGAAGGACAAGCAGACGACUACCACACCACCGCCCACCACAACUCUACCACCAACCACAACAGCUUUCCCGACUGAACCACCCACAGAACCAGAGACUUACACAGACUACCCCUAUCCUGAUAUCGAUGAUUACUGGAAACCAGAGGAUGACUACUGGGAAGCUGAACACGCACCAUCCAGGCCUCAGCCUGAGACUCUGAUCACAGAUCCUCCCUACGACUACUGGAAGCCAGAGGAGGAAGACCCAACUGCUCCUGUUACAGACCGCUAUGAUGACUACUGGAAACCUGAGGAGAAAGAACCAACUGCUCCUGUUACAGACCGCUAUGAUGACUACUGGAAACCUGAGGAGAAAGAACCAACUGCUCCUGUUACAGACCGCUAUGAUGACUACUGGAAACCUGAGGAGGAAGAACCAUACACGCCUCUGACUGAUAACUAUGACAGCUACUGGAAAGAGGUGGAACCGACGGCUCCUGCCCCCGAGGGUGAUGGGAAGACUGGGACAGAUGACAGUGAUUACUGGGACGCCACAUUUGAGGUGCCAGAUAAUCUUCCAUUCCCUGAUGGCAAAGAGGUCAGCCCUGAAAUCAUAGUGGAAACUCUGCCAGAAGAGCACACAGCCGCUCCUCCUUAUGAAGGGACGUGGUAUGACGAUUAUGACGAAUACGGAAUGAGUAUGCAGAUACACACAAAAACAUAACUAUACCCAAACGUUUUACAUCACACCCACUGGUUAAGUUGUAGUGACACUUCUGCCAACAAAGCAACAGCACAGAAAAAAGAAUGAACAAGAGUCAUAACUUUCCUCAGCUUUCGUAAAAGAUCCUUGUGAUCAAACAAAUUCAGGAAGGCAGGCAUACAACUUGCUGCACGUGGUGCCGGUGUAUAUUAGAUAUUUUUCUAAAAUUAACCACAAUUCUUUCCAGGGAGGAAAGAGGACGAGACGGAUGAAAAAUGGAUGGAGAAAGAACGAGAAAGAGCAGAAAAAGAGAGAGAGAGGCAAGAGAAGGGUAAGAAAACCCAGAUGUGGAUAGUUUUUGUUUCUUACAUAACAGCUCACUGUACAAUCUUGUCAAAUAAAAUGUGAUACUGUUGUUGCCAAAGCAAAGGCCGAGGCCUGUAACCUAAGUGCAUAAGUACCAGCAGAUCAAAGGUCUUUGUUUGUAAGGCAAUGCAGAUAUGA